Molecule: transfer RNA, 67 nt
Filed under: Ictidomys tridecemlineatus (thirteen-lined ground squirrel)
Lineage: Eukaryota; Metazoa; Chordata; Mammalia; Rodentia; Sciuridae
Description: Spermophilus tridecemlineatus (thirteen-lined ground squirrel) tRNA
Rfam family: tRNA
About the family: Transfer RNA (tRNA) molecules are approximately 80 nucleotides in length.
Source: Rfam by way of RNAcentral
GGGGCUGUGGCUCAGUGUUAGAGCACUCGCCUAGCAUGCGUGGCACUGGGUUCAAUCCUCAGCACUA